UACGUAGGUGGCAAGCGUUAUCCGGAUUUACUGGGUGUAAAGGGCGUGUAGGCGGGUUUGCAAGUUGGAUGUGAAAUCCUCAGGCUUAACCUGAGAGGGUCAUCCAAAACUGCAGAUCUUGAGUACUGGAGAGGAUAGUGGAAUUCCUAGUGUAGCGGUAAAAUGCGUAGAUAUUAGGAGGAACACCAGUGGCGAAGGCGACUAUCUGGACAGUAACUGACGCUGAGGCGCGAAAGCGUGGGGAGCAAACAGGAUUAGAUACCCCGGUA
Molecule: ribosomal RNA, 269 nt
Filed under: uncultured prokaryote
Description: partial 16S ribosomal RNA
Rfam family: Bacterial small subunit ribosomal RNA
Source: RNAcentral